CGUAGGGGGCAAGCGUUGUCCGGAUUUACUGGGCGUAAAGAGCGCGUAGGCGGAGAUCUAAGCGUGGCCUGAAAGCCCCCGGCUCAACCGGGGAGUGCGGCUGCGAACUGGGUUCUUGAGGACGAUAGAGGAGAGUGGAAUUCCUGGUGUAGCGGUGAAAUGCGUAGAUAUCAGGAGGAACACCCGAGGCGAAGGCGGCUCUCUGGGUCGUACCUGACGCUGAGGCGCGAAAGCGUGGGGAGCGAACGGGAUUAGAUACCCCGGUAGUCCACGCCGUAAACGAUGGUCACUAGGUGUGUGUGGUAUCGACCCCGCACGUGCCGCAGCUAACGCAAUAAGUGACCCGCCUGGGGAGUACGGCCGCAAGGUUG
RNAcentral lists this ribosomal RNA (371 nucleotides) under uncultured organism. Its description in RNAcentral is "bacterial SSU rRNA". It matches the Rfam family "Bacterial small subunit ribosomal RNA", at positions 526 to 896 of the family's 1533-position model. The record is from RNAcentral.